Molecule: ribosomal RNA, 789 nt
Filed under: Quinisulcius capitatus
Lineage: Eukaryota; Metazoa; Nematoda; Chromadorea; Rhabditida; Telotylenchidae
Description: partial large subunit ribosomal RNA
Rfam family: Eukaryotic large subunit ribosomal RNA
Source: RNAcentral
GACUGAAUAUGACUACGAGUCCGAUAGCGAACAAGUACCGUGAGGGAAAGUUGCAAAGCACUUUAAAGAGAGAGUUAAAGAGGACGUGAAACCGGUGAGGUGGAAACGGAUAGAGUCAGCGUAUCUGGCCUGUAUUCAACCGCAUGGCUGAUGCCGAUAGGGUUUUCGCUUCCAGACUGGAGUGUGGCCUUAGCAGGUGUUUGCUGUGUGGUGCAUUUGCAGGUGGUGUGCGCCGAGACGCCUAGGGUAGCUGCUUGAGCUCGGUUUUGAGGCCAACUCGCCAGAGUUUGGUACCCGGACUGGGGGAAAGCUGUUUGCCCUGGGUGUGCCUGUUUGGCAUGGCUUACGGGCUCGGUUGGGUGUCGAGCUGGCAACUGGUUACAGUCGCAUGCGACAUGUGCCAGAGGCUAGUUCGGUCCUAGUCGAGCUCUCAUGCUCGUUCUCGGUGUAAAAGCUGGUCAUCUAUCCGACCCGUCUUGAAACACGGACCAAGGAGUUUAUCGUGUGCGCGAGUCAUUGGGUGUUUAAAACUCAAAGGCGAAAUGAAAGUGAAUGUUCCCGUAAGGGGCUGACGUGCGAGCCUGUUUGCCUCGGCAAGUAGGCGCAGCAUGACCCCAUUCUAACUGCUUGCAGUGGGGUGGAGGUAGAGCGUACGCGGUGAGACCCGAAAGAUGGUGAACUAUUCCUGUGCAGGAUAAAGUCAGAGGAAACUCUGAUGGAAGUCCGAAGCGAUUCUGACGUGCAAAUCGAUCGUCUGACAUGGGUAUAGGGGCGAAAGACUAAUCGAAC